This 31-nucleotide non-coding RNA is filed under the name Homo sapiens (human). The record is from RNAcentral. Lineage: Eukaryota; Metazoa; Chordata; Mammalia; Primates; Hominidae.
UCAACUAGGUCCAUGGGCACAGGCCCAGAGG